This 462-nucleotide ribosomal RNA is filed under the name uncultured bacterium. Its description in RNAcentral is "bacterial SSU rRNA". It matches the Rfam family "Bacterial small subunit ribosomal RNA", at positions 28 to 507 of the family's 1533-position model. The record is from RNAcentral.
GACGAACGCUGGCGGCGUGCCUAACACAUGCAAGUCGAACGAAGAAUGUUUUUCGGAAUAUUCUUAGUGGCGGACGGGUGAGUAACGCGUGAACAAUCUGCCCCGUACAAAGGGAUAGCCUCGGGAAACCGGGAUUAAAACCAUAUAACGCUUUAGUACCGCAUGGUAAUAAAGUCAAAUCGAUUAAGAGGUAUGGGAUGAGUUCGCGUCUGAUUAGCUAGUUGGUGAGGUAAGGGCUCACCAAGGCGACGAUCAGUAGCCGGCCUGAGAGGGUGAACGGCCACACUGGAACUGAGACACGGUCCAGACUCCUACGGGAGGCAGCAGUGGGGAAUAUUGCACAAUGGAGGGAACUCUGAUGCAGCGACGCCGCGUGAGUGAAGAAGGUCUUCGGAUCGUAAAACUCUGUCCUUGGUGAAGAAAAGGACGGUAGCCAAGGAGGAAGCCCCGGCUAACUACGUG